This 330-nucleotide ribosomal RNA is filed under the name Myialges nr. caulotoon NKW-2006. RNAcentral describes it as "partial 12S ribosomal RNA". The record is from RNAcentral. Lineage: Eukaryota; Metazoa; Arthropoda; Arachnida; Sarcoptiformes; Epidermoptidae.
AUUUUUUGAAUAACAGUAGGUAGUAAUUUAUAUGUCCCAAACUUAUUCUAUUUGGCGGUUUACUAACCUCACAUAGGAAUUUGCCAAUUUUAAUUGAUAGCCCGCCUUUAUAAUAACCAUUUUUAAUUUUAUGUACGGCUGUUUAGUUUUAAUAUAACAAUUAUUUCCUAAAAAAUAAAAAAUUCUAAAUUCAAGUCAAUGUGUAAAGUAUAAAAUGGUUUUUGGUGAAUUACUGUAAUAGUCAAAAUUCUUUAAAUAGUUAAUUAAUACGGAUAUGUUAGUAAAAUAAAAAUAAAAUUCUUAUUUGAUAAAGGACCUAGUAAAAGUACA